Molecule: non-coding RNA, 325 nt
Filed under: Paenibacillus sp.
Lineage: Bacteria; Bacillati; Bacillota; Bacilli; Caryophanales; Paenibacillaceae
Source: RNAcentral
CAACCCAUACAGCCGAUAGGUGCCCGCAGCUUCAGCGCUGCAGGUUAAAAGGGAAGCCGGUGCAAAUCCGGCACGGUCCCGCCACUGUAAACCGGGUAACGCCCCCAAGCGCCACUGUCUUUGCCGGACGGGAAGGCGGGGCGGCGUGCGUCCCAACGCUUUUGCUCCAUCGGAAAGUAUAGGCGAGCGCCUGUACUUGUCUGGUUCCGCUGCGUGCGGUGAACGCGUACGCCCCAAAGGGCGGCGCAAGCCGUAUGUCCCGGAAGCAAAGCAAAGCUGACGCACACCCGCAAGUCAGGAGACCUGCCUAUUCGGUCAGGCUACG